This 417-nucleotide RNase P RNA is filed under the name Bradyrhizobium sediminis. RNAcentral's name for it is "Bacterial RNase P class A". It matches the Rfam family "Bacterial RNase P class A". From Rfam's summary of the family: Ribonuclease P (RNase P) is a ubiquitous endoribonuclease, found in archaea, bacteria and eukarya as well as chloroplasts and mitochondria. Its best characterised activity is the generation of mature 5'-ends of tRNAs by cleaving the 5'-leader elements of precursor-tRNAs. Cellular RNase Ps are ribonucleoproteins. Lineage: Bacteria; Pseudomonadati; Pseudomonadota; Alphaproteobacteria; Hyphomicrobiales; Nitrobacteraceae. The record is from Rfam by way of RNAcentral.
UCAGUCGGCCGGACGGCCGCUCCCGCUACGGUCGAAAGGCUGCGGGAGAGGAAAGUCCGGGCUCCAUCGACAUACGGUGCCGGAUAACGUCCGGCGGGGGCGACCCCAGGGACAGUGCCACAGAGAACGAACCGCCCCCUCUCCGGAGGAGGUAAGGGUGAAAAGGUGCGGUAAGAGCGCACCGCGGGUCCGGCAACGGAACCGGCAUGGCAAACCACACCGGGAGCAAAACCGAAUAGGGACGGCAACGCGGGAUGUUCGCGCAAGCGAUAACUCCGCAGGGCGAUGUCAGGCUCGCCGUCCGGGUAGGUUGCUCGAGGCAACGUGCAAACGUUGUCCCAGAGGAAUGGCCGUCACGUAUCGUUUGCGCAAGCAGGCGGUGCCCUACAAAACCCGGCUUACAGGCUGGCUGAUGCU